This 253-nucleotide ribosomal RNA is filed under the name uncultured bacterium. Its description in RNAcentral is "partial 16S ribosomal RNA". It matches the Rfam family "Bacterial small subunit ribosomal RNA", at positions 524 to 776 of the family's 1533-position model. The record is from RNAcentral.
UACGUAGGUGGCAAGCGUUGUCCGGAUUUAUUGGGUUUAAAGGGUGCGUAGGCGGUCUUUUAAGUCAGUGCUGAAAUACUCCAGCUUAACUGGAGGGGUGGCAUUGAUACUGGAAGACUUGAGUGCAGUCGAGGUAGGCGGAAUUGACGGUGUAGCGGUGAAAUGCUUAGAUAUCGUCAAGAACACCGAUAGUGAAGACAGCUUACUAGGCUGCAACUGACGCUGAGGAGCGAAAGCGUGGGGAGCGAACAGG